Molecule: ribosomal RNA, 400 nt
Filed under: uncultured bacterium
Lineage: Bacteria
Description: bacterial SSU rRNA
Rfam family: Bacterial small subunit ribosomal RNA
Source: RNAcentral
UAGGGAAUCUUCCACAAUGGGCGAAAGCCUGAUGGAGCAACGCCGCGUGAGUGAUGAAGGCCUUUGGGUUGUAAAACUCUGUCUUCUGUGACGAACAAGCCUGUGAGUGGAAUGCUCAGGCCCUGACGGUAACAGAGGAGGAAGCCACGGCUAACUACGUGCCAGCAGCCGCGGUAAUACGUAGGUGGCAAGCGUUGUCCGGAAUCACUGGGCGUAAAGCGCGCGCAGGCGGCGAUCUACGUCUGGGGUGAAAGCCCGGGGCUCAACCUCGGGACUGCCUUGGAUACGGGAUCGCUUGAGAAUCGGAGAGGCAAGGGGAAUUCCACGUGUAGCGGUGAAAUGCGUAGAGAUGUGGAGGAACACCUGUGGCGAAGGCGCCUUGCUGGCCGAUUUCUGACGC